Molecule: long non-coding RNA, 717 nt
Filed under: Monodelphis domestica (gray short-tailed opossum)
Lineage: Eukaryota; Metazoa; Chordata; Mammalia; Didelphimorphia; Didelphidae
Description: lncRNA (ENSMODG00000031047.2)
Source: RNAcentral
UGAUCUCUUUUUUUCCUCAUGACUUUGGGAGGUGAGUGCUAUAAUGAAUUACCUUUAUUUUACAGGUGAGGAAACCAAGGCAGAGGUUGUGACUUCCCCAGUAAAUGCUGGUGACCUUCCAUUGGAACCCAUCACUCUCUUCUUUUUCGGAAAUUCUUUCAGUGGCUUCUCCCCACUUGUCCUCAAGCUCUCCUUCAGUUGUCCAGGAUUUUUCAGUCUAGGAAUUUCUAGAGCACAAAGUUUUAUUUUGACCUUGGCAGAAGGAAAGGGAAGGAAGAAAGAAGAAUAUGAUGCACCUCUCAGUUUAUACAGUUCUUUCCUCACAACAAUCUGGUAAAUGCCUGCUUCAGCUACCUUCUUGGCUGUUGGGACAAAUUGUUCUCAUCCAUCUGUUCAUCUGGACAAGGUCUUCAAAUACUUGAGGUAGUUAUGCUCACCAGUUCAUUGAUUGGUUUGCAGACUGUCAGUUACCCACAACCUGGCUUAGCCCAUCUGCCAACAUGGAUUUACUAGGAUGUGACUGCUGUGCAUGCUGCAUCUUCUUGGAGUCACCGGUGAGAGUUGGGUGAAAGGCAAACACUAAAAGGUGGCUGAGCAGCUCUGCAAGGGGGACUAGUCCUUCAAGAACACCUCAUAUUUCUCAGCAACAAGAUAUCCAGAGCUUGGUGCAUUGUAAACAGUUAAUAAAUGCUUAUUGAUUAACUGAUGGAUGUGUCA